GUUAGUUUGUUGGGAUUUGGGGAAAAUUCCUAGUUGGAAUCUGUACUAUCAAUGUGAUUGGCAGGAGGAAAAUAUGGCUGUAAGCGGGAAGAAGAACGGGGAAUUUAUCACAGGCAGUGAUGUUUCUGAAAUGAAAUACACAAACAAGGUGGUGGAAGAAACUUUGAGACUCACAAACAUUUCACCCUUCCUUUUUCGCUCAGGUGACGGAAGAAGUUGAAUUUCAAGGUUUCAUAAUCCCAAAAGGCUGGAAAUUGUUAUUGUGGUUUCGAUACAAUCACAGUAAUUCAGAAUACUUCAUGGAUCCAUUGUGCUUCAAUCCAGAUAGAUGGAAUAAACCGGCAAAACCUGGUACAUUCCAAGUUUUUGGUGGGGGUUCAAGGAGUUGUGCUGGAAAUAUGCUCUCUCGGACUGAACUUGCAAUCUUUCUGCACCAUUUGGUUGUCGGCUACAAGUGGGAACUAAUAAAUCCAGAUGCCAAGAUUGAUUAUCUUCCUCACCCUAAACCAAUUGAUCGGGUUAAGAUUGCCUUUAGCAAAAUUUAGAACUACUUCAUCAUUGUUUUGGUUCCAUGAAUUUGUAGGCCUUAUGAGCCAAUCUGCUUUGUAUCCUGUAUGACAGUUCAACAGUGGUGUGCUAAUUUGUAUGGAAAACACUGGUGCAAUAAAGGCCUCAUGAGCCACGUUUGUAUGGCUAGUGUUUUUACACCUUUAAAAUAUUCUCAAGACCUUGCUGCUGAGAACUAUAUGAUGCCUAGGCCCUGCUGCUUAUAAUCUGCAUUUUUUACACCUUUAAAAUAUUCUGUAAAUGACAUUUGAUGUAGAAUUUUUUGUACAGAGGACAUCUUUUUUGUAUGAUUUUGUGUUUGUAUGGAAUUAUUAUUUUGGGUUGGAUUGUA
This is a non-coding RNA of Camellia sinensis, 898 nucleotides long. The record is from RefSeq and is a predicted model, not a curated record. NCBI's taxonomy places the organism in Eukaryota, Viridiplantae, Streptophyta, Magnoliopsida, Ericales, Theaceae.